Molecule: long non-coding RNA, 485 nt
Organism: Lynx canadensis (Canada lynx)
Lineage: Eukaryota; Metazoa; Chordata; Mammalia; Carnivora; Felidae
Exons: 5
Source: RefSeq, a predicted model, not a curated record
ACUCCAUGUUGAUGACGAAGAGCCCGUGCCUGGCCCUCCUUCCUGUGAUGGUCUCCAGCUGGGCCAGCAUCUGCAUGGGGAGCUCCUCCAGCUGAACCCCGACUUACACAGGAGACAGAUUCCAGAAAACUCUGAGUAACCUGAAAGGGAAGGCCACCGGCCCCUGGAGAGUGCUGUGCAGAGAUGAACAUGUGUGACUCAGGUUUUAAGAGGACCGCCCGGCCGCUGUGUUGAAAGCAGACCACGGGCAGAGGUGCAAGGCUGUAGGUGGUUCAGGAGACAACACGGUCCUGGCCUGAGGGAGACCCUUCACCCGCAUCGCUGCGGUUUACUACCCAUCCGCUCAGUGCCAAGUGCGGUCCACCAGUUACCUUUACUCCUGCCUGCAACGUAAAGGACGACAUCGGCCAGCACGCCGAACAUCUGGUAGAGCCCAGAAGCCUCGUUGAUGCGCCGGACGAUGGAGCUCGUCAGCUGUGAGAUGG